GCGGAAGCGUGAUCCAGCCAUGCCGCGUGAGUGAAGAAGGCCUUCGGGUUGUAAAGCUCUUUUGUCGGGGAAGAGAUGCAAAGGGUUAAUACCCGGUGUUCAUGACGGUACCCGAAGAAUAAGCACCGGCUAACUACGUGCCAGCAGCCGCGGUAAUACGUAGGGUGCGAGCGUUAUUCGGAAUUACUGGGCGUAAAGCGUGCGCAGGCGGUUUUUUAAAUCUGAUGUGAAAUCCCCGGGCUCAACCUGGGAAAAGCAUUUGAGACUGCCAGGGUGGAGUGUGGCAGAGGGGGGUGGAAUUCCACGUGUAGCAGUGAAAAGUGUAGAGAUCUGGAGGAACACCCCUGGGGAAGGCGGCCCCCUGGGCCAAUACUGACACUCAGGCACGAAAGCGUGGGGAGCAAACAGGAUUAGAUACCCUGGUAGUCCACGCCCUAAACGAUGUCAACUCGGUGUUGGGAGGAAUAUGCUUUCAGUGUCGCAGCUAACGCG
Molecule: ribosomal RNA, 492 nt
Filed under: bacterium enrichment culture
Lineage: Bacteria
Description: bacterial SSU rRNA
Rfam family: Bacterial small subunit ribosomal RNA
Source: RNAcentral